GUAUGUUUCCAUCUAGUUCUUGUUCUUAUCGAGCUAAACGGACAAAUCUGCACUCUCUUUCCCUGUUACCCAUCUCGUUCUUCUUCUCUUUGAACAAAAAAGUUUUUCUCCUCUAAUUAUUUAUCACCAAUGGAGCUUAAUCACCACCCUCAUCUCAAUAUCAAAACCUUGCAUCAGCAGAAAUCAAAAGCAAACCCUUUUUCUGUAACCCUAAAUCUAGUUUUUUGAUGCCUGAAAUCCUAGGGUUUGAGUAAUCGAAAGAUGAAAAUAUGACUUAAGUCAACUCAAUGUCAACUAUGAUUUAGUUUUUACUUGAGAUUAUUGUUAUUUGAUUAGAUUAGAUUUGAUUGGUAUUGUUUAAAUCGAUCUCAAGAUAUAGAUUCAUCACCAACGACAUCAGUAGCAUUCCUUGCAGAUCUUUGGUUAUGUCAAUGAUUCUGGUGUUGAUGCUGGGUUUUUGAUAUCAUGAUCAAAGUUGGUAAGAGCUCUUACUGCACAUGAAGGGUAUGCUAAAAUCGAAUUAAAUUCAUUUCUUGUGUCCAGGACAUCUAUGAGAAUUAUAAUCUUUUUAAAAAAACAAGAGAGUAUGUGAUCUGCAUUUCUCGGAAAUGGUGGAAAAUUUCAUUUCUAAGGUGGUGUAUAUUGUGUUUAGCAGGGAUAAAAGGGCGCCGAUUUUGUACUCGAUUUUGGCUCUUCUCAAGUUCAUUCAAUCUUUUAGCUGUAAUAUAACUUAUACAAUUAAUAUUACCAGGUUUAGUUAAUUUUUUGUGUUUAAACCUGUGAGAGGUGACCGUAACAAACUGCUAUGCACGUUCCUAUAUCUUUUGUGGUAGUUGUAGGUUGAACUUCGAACUGUAGAUAGGUUGGUGAAGGGUAGUACAACGUGCUCUGAAUGGUUAUAAUUCAUUUCAAUUGAAGUCAAGGCACAUCUUUUCUGGAGAAGAUAAUGGAGUUGUUGGAAGUGACAGUCAUAAAGUGAAAGAUGACAGACCUUCGAGAAUAAAAGUAUAAUGUUCAUCAUAUACAGAUGAUCUUGUAACUUCAACUUACACAAGUGCAGCAAGCAGCUGCCUGCUCACAAAUAUUCUUCCAGGUUCAAAAGAGUCUGUCUUUAACAACAAAUAUUGGAGUAGUAUAAAGGAGAGUGGGUUCCCCGCAAAUUCCUGUUACUAUUGGUUUUUGAGGAACUUCAGGAAAAGAGCACUUGCAAAUGCAUAUGUUGAUAGCGCAAAGCCUCCAACAGUUGACGAUUUUGACUGCCAAAUUGAUGAAAUUGUGGAUGCAAGUGCGAUGUUACGCAAUAGAGAUGGCGUACUUGGAUAUGUUUCAGUAGGUUAGGUGGCCAAAAACUUGUGUAAAUCUUAUAGAAGAGCUACCAAAUUAGAGUGGUGAAGUUAGGUAACAGUUUAGUAAAUCGAAUUCAGUUAAAAAAAUAUCAGUUUCAAUAUUUGGAUGUAAUUUCAAAUUGCUUAUGUUGUUUGAUGAAUAUACAUUUACUCUGCAAUCUGUAUUCAGGAAUUUGAUGUAAUUUUCAGUAAUUAAUGUAAAGUUAAACUCAUUUUGAAAA
Papaver somniferum (opium poppy) is the source of this 1567-nucleotide long non-coding RNA. RefSeq lists it as uncharacterized. The record is from RefSeq and is a predicted model, not a curated record. Lineage: Eukaryota; Viridiplantae; Streptophyta; Magnoliopsida; Ranunculales; Papaveraceae. The transcript is spliced from 6 exons.